This 253-nucleotide ribosomal RNA is filed under the name uncultured bacterium. RNAcentral's name for it is "partial 16S ribosomal RNA". It matches the Rfam family "Bacterial small subunit ribosomal RNA", at positions 524 to 776 of the family's 1533-position model. The record is from RNAcentral.
UACGGAGGGUGCAAACGUUGCUCGGAAUCAUUGGGCGUAAAGCGCACGUAGGCGGCCGUGUAAGUCGGAUGUGAAAGCCCUGGGCUCAACCCAGGAAGUGCAUUCGAAACUGCACGGCUUGAAUAUGGAAGAGGGUCGCGGAAUUCCCGGUGUAGAGGUGAAAUUCGUAGAUAUCGGGAGGAACACCAAUGGCGAAGGCAGCUUGCUGGGACGGUACUGACGCUGAGGAGCGAAAGCGUGGGGAGCGAACAGG